This 235-nucleotide signal recognition particle RNA is filed under the name Methanosarcinales archaeon. RNAcentral's name for it is "partial signal recognition particle sRNA". It matches the Rfam family "Archaeal signal recognition particle RNA", at positions 1 to 235 of the family's 317-position model. Lineage: Archaea; Methanobacteriati; Methanobacteriota; Methanomicrobia; Methanosarcinales. The record is from RNAcentral.
UGGCAGGCUAGCCCGGGUAGUUAGGCGUUACCUGUGACCCGAAAUCGCCGAUAUGCGGGGGGCGAAGCCGUUGGAAGAUGUUAUCAAUUACCUCUUCAACCCACGGACUUGACUGAGAAGCUCCGUCCUAUGGGGAUAACGUUGAUAUGGAAGCUUUCCUGAAGGCAUGUUUCCAUGACUUAAUUGAGGGAAUCGGUCCAGGCCCGGAAGGGAGCAGACUUACCUUGAACAAUUA